CUUCAACGAACCCAGCCACAAAGCCUGUUCGCGAUCCUGACCGUACGUGGCCAGCAGCGCCUGGGCCUC
This 69-nucleotide antisense RNA is filed under the name Streptomyces noursei. RNAcentral's name for it is "ASpks sRNA". It matches the Rfam family "ASpks TB sRNA". Lineage: Bacteria; Bacillati; Actinomycetota; Actinomycetes; Kitasatosporales; Streptomycetaceae. The record is from RNAcentral.